Molecule: transfer RNA, 84 nt
Filed under: Aureobasidium subglaciale EXF-2481
Lineage: Eukaryota; Fungi; Ascomycota; Dothideomycetes; Dothideales; Saccotheciaceae
Rfam family: tRNA
About the family: Transfer RNA (tRNA) molecules are approximately 80 nucleotides in length. Their secondary structure includes four short double-helical elements and three loops (D, anti-codon, and T loops).
Source: Rfam by way of RNAcentral
GGAUUAGUGGUGUAGUGGUAACAUAAUCGCCUUCCAAUCAACGAUUGCGAGCGAUUGCUGUGGGUUCGAUUCCCGCCUAAUUCA